CCGCGGGAAUUCCAUAACAUCGAGACAGAGCUUGAUACUGAAUGGACAGAACAUGCGGUGCAGAUCAGACGGAGAAGGCUGGUGGGCUCGCACCGAGGCUGCGCUUCAUAAGCGAACAGUUGCAAGAGAUUCUAAGUGCUCCUUGCCUCCUUUUUUGGAGAGGGACCUGGAUGCAGACGGGCGGGCGAGACCUCCAGAAGAGGCAUCUCGGCAGCUGGCAGGAAAUCACGUGGCCUCAGCAGCAGAGGUUUAAAAUGCUGGGAUCAAUUUGGCCCCGACCAUUAAAGAUGUCUGUCCGUUUUAACAUUCUGUGUUCUACUUCACGGCGGGGAAAAAAUGACAGGAGGACCAGCAGCCGCUGCUGAGGUCACGUGAUUUCCUGUCCCUCUAUAUCCGGCAUUCCUGGCAGAGCUAAGCCUUGCACUCAUAUUGAUUUGAAACUGGGGGGAAAAGAAACGGUGUCUUCAUGUUUGCUGUGGAUCAUGGAUCAUCUUCCUCUGUGGAUGUUGUUUUUCUCACACUAAACUAAGAGAAUGGCAGGAAGCAAACUCCCCUCAAGACAUAAUAUUUCUACACAAGCUGAUUGUGCAGACACCGGGCGGAGGACUGAAGCGCAGAGCGCACAUGUAGGGAAGCGCUGGAAUAAACCUCCCAUGCCCCCGUUUCUGUUCAGUUUCAAGGACUUUUUGUUACUGUUCUACAGCACAAUAAAAAGUAUGGAUAAACAAACA
Molecule: long non-coding RNA, 731 nt
Organism: Xiphias gladius (swordfish)
Lineage: Eukaryota; Metazoa; Chordata; Actinopteri; Istiophoriformes; Xiphiidae
Exons: 5
Source: RefSeq, a predicted model, not a curated record